This 271-nucleotide ribosomal RNA is filed under the name uncultured bacterium. RNAcentral's name for it is "partial small subunit ribosomal RNA". It matches the Rfam family "Bacterial small subunit ribosomal RNA", at positions 26 to 285 of the family's 1533-position model. The record is from RNAcentral.
AGAAUCAACGCUGGCGGCGUGCCUAACACAUGCAAGUCGAACGCGAAAGCCCCGCAAGGGGUAAGUAGAGUGGCAAACGGGUGAGUAACACGUGGGUGACCUGCCUUCGAGUGGGGGGAUAACGUCCCGAAAGGGACGCUAAUACCGCAUGACAUCCUGCUUUUGGAAAAGCGGAGAUCAAAGCUGGGGAUCGUAAGACCUGGCGCUUGAAGAGGGGCCCGCGCCUGAUUAGCUAGUUGGUGGGUAACGGCUACCAAGGCGACGAUCAGUA